RNAcentral lists this long non-coding RNA (283 nucleotides) under Elaeis guineensis (African oil palm). RNAcentral's name for it is "long non-coding RNA (EGUI_LNC000032)". Lineage: Eukaryota; Viridiplantae; Streptophyta; Magnoliopsida; Arecales; Arecaceae. The record is from RNAcentral.
AAUGGGACAAUCUACAGUGAAUGAUUUAUGAUUACGACUUCGCUCUGAUUGAGUCCGCCUGGGAGAGUCAAUUACAUGACUUAGAAAAUUUUCUCAAGUUCGAUUAAUUUGGCUACAACCUAUUCAGUUCGUCACUUCAUACUGAUUAUUUUAUUUUAUUAUCGAUCAUAAGAUUUAAAAGAUUCUAUCAAAUCUAUCAGUUCAGUUGUGAUUUAGUCGGUCUGUUACUUCCAACUGAGUGCAUUGCAUUAUUACUGACUUCAUUACUUAGUCAAUUUUAUGA